RNAcentral lists this ribosomal RNA (1021 nucleotides) under Halobacterium sp. IARI-SSAK3. RNAcentral's name for it is "bacterial SSU rRNA". It matches the Rfam family "Archaeal small subunit ribosomal RNA", at positions 1 to 1020 of the family's 1478-position model. Lineage: Archaea; Methanobacteriati; Methanobacteriota; Halobacteria; Halobacteriales; Halobacteriaceae. The record is from RNAcentral.
AUUCCGGUUGAUCCUGCCGGAGGCUAUUGCUAUCGGGAUCCGAUUCAGGCAUGCUAGUCGUACGAGUUCAUACUCGUGGCGUAUAGCUCAGUAACACGUGGUCAAACCACCCUCUGGACUGAGAUACCCUCGGGAAACUGAGGUCAAUCUCGGAUACUGCUUUCACGUUGGAAAAACGGAAAGCUGGAAACGGUCCGCCGCCGGAGGACGUGACUGCGGCUGAUUAGGUAGACGGUGGGGUAACGGCCCACCGUGCCAAUAAUCAGUACGGGUUGUGAGAGCAAGAGCCCGGAGACGGAAUCUGAGACAAGAUUCCGGGCCCUACGGGGCGCAGCAGCCGCGAAACCUUUACACUGCACGACAGUGCGAUAAGGGGAUCCCGAAGUGCGAGGGCCUACAGUCCUCGCUUUUCGUGACCGUAGGUGGUCACAGAAUAAGGGCUGGGCAAGACCGGUGCCAGCCGCCGCGGUAAUACCGGCAGCCCGAGUGAUAGCCAAUUUUAUUGGGCCUAAAGCGUCCGUAGCUGGCCGAACAGGUCCGUCGGGAAAUCCACCCGCUUAACGGGUGGGCGUCCGGCGGAAACCAGUCGGCUUGGGGCCGGGAGACCAAAGGGGUACGUCCGGGGUAGGAGUGAAAUCCCGUAAUCCUGGACGGACCGCCGGUUGCGAAAGCGCCUAUUGGAGAACGGACCCGACAGUGAGGACGAAAGCUAGGGUCUCGAACCGGAUUAGAUACCCGGGUAGUCCUAGCCGUAAACGAUGCUCGCUAGUUGUGACGCAGGCUACGAGCCUGCGUUGCGCCGUAGGGAAGCCGAGAAGCGAGCCGCCUGGGAAGUACGUCCGCAAGGAUGAAACUUAAAGGAAUUGGCGGGGGAGCACUACAACCGGAGGAGCCUGCGGUUUAAUUGGACUCAACGCCGGACAUCUCACCGGCACCGACAACGUGCAGUGACGGUCAGUUUGAUGAGCUUACCUGAGCCGUUGAGAGGAGGUGCAUGGCCGCCGUCAGCUCGUACCGUGAG